RNAcentral lists this microRNA precursor (110 nucleotides) under Medicago truncatula (barrel medic). RNAcentral's name for it is "miRNA gene24697". It matches the Rfam family "MIR2587 microRNA precursor family". The record is from RNAcentral. Lineage: Eukaryota; Viridiplantae; Streptophyta; Magnoliopsida; Fabales; Fabaceae.
CGAUGGUGUCAUGGUCAUUGUUAACCGUUCAUAGGAACCCUUCAAUUGCAAUGCAUUGCGGCUUGUGUGGGGUUAAUAUAACGGUCAACAGAGACACUCGACAUCAAAGA